ACUGGACGGACCACUACGGGGGCCACUGGACGGACCACUACGGGGGCCACUGGACGGACCACUACGGGGGCCACUGGACGGGCCACGUGUGCUCCCACUGCAUCAACAUGUGGCACUCCACCGCAGAUCCCUCCAGUAGGCUGAGAAGAAGCUCCAGAGCCUGGCCCCGGAGAUGGAGGGGCAGCGGCGGGCCAGGAAGCCCUCCGGCUCUGAGACGUGUGGCGCCACAACCAACAACUCCGCGUGCAGGGCGGGCUUAGAGAAAGGCUUUACACAGACCCUGGAUAAUGCUCCUGCCUGAGCACCUCACCCAAGAACUGUCCAAGAUGCCUCACGUCCAAGAAGUCCCAGGUUUACAAGUGGAAGGGCCUGCUCAAGGAACUCCGCUGCUCUCUCCUGGACGGAAGGAACCAGGAGAUGGAGAGGAGAUGAAGAAGAAGAGAAAGAAGACUUGGGAACAAAGAACCCCAACAAAAGAUGAAGAAGAAAGAGAAGAAGAAGAAGGAGGAAGUGAAGAAGAGAAGUUUCUUUCAAUAAUAAUAAUAAAAUAUAUAUUGAAAGAA
Eriocheir sinensis (Chinese mitten crab) is the source of this 563-nucleotide long non-coding RNA. RefSeq lists it as uncharacterized. The transcript has 5 exons. NCBI's taxonomy places the organism in Eukaryota, Metazoa, Arthropoda, Malacostraca, Decapoda, Varunidae. The record is from RefSeq and is a predicted model, not a curated record.